UCCAGCCCGCCCACUCGCGCGCUGCAGCGGCGUCAGGCGCUCUAUUCCCAUAAAAGGGAAUUCUUCACAACGACAUGGAAUGUUGGGCACUGUUUGAAUCAGGGAGGGAGCACGAGCACGAGCACGAGCACGGCUACCGUGGGGAACGUGGAAGAGGAGGGGGACGGGGUUGUUGAACCAACCACAGUCGGGGCAAUCGCAGCUCCUGCAUCCAGCGAUCGAAGCUCCUGCGAUCGGGCGGUCAAAGCUCCUGCAGCCUGGAGCUCCCGAAGUCGGUUUCUAACCAAGGACCGAGACCUCCACGAUGUUCAAGUCCACAGGCUCCGCGGUUAGUUCCAAGAUGUUGCCUAACCUCGAGUUCUUCUAGCUGUCUAGUUUUUGUAAAUGGAAAUAUCAAUCCAAAUAGGAAUAAAGAAAAGAUAAUGAAUAUGAGAUAUUCCCCUACCUUGAGCCAGUAAUAUGUAUUUUGGAUUUGGAUAUCAUAUCUCGGCUGCAAUCUCAGUUGUCAAAGUGAUUACAGGGUUUCAAUAUCCAUGGUAAAGGGUACGGUAUCUGGGACAGUGUCGGGGAGAACACUUCAUGUUACAUGGUAAGUUUCACAUUUAGAGACCCAGCACGGAAACAGGCCCUUUGACCCACCGAGUCUGCACCGACCAGCGAUCCCCGUAAAUUAACACUUUCAUACAUACACUAGGGACAAUGUUACAUUUAUACCAAGUCAAUUAACCUACAAACCUGCACAUCUUUGGAUGGUGGGAGGACACUGAAGAUCUCUGAGAAAACCCAUCAGUCACUGGGAGAACUUGCAAACUCUGUACAGAGUUUGUGCCUCUGUGCUGUGCUUCAACAAAACUGGCAUGUUGCUGUGUCAAUGAAUUACAGUAGUCAAUGUAUUCUGUGUGAGUGCACCUCACUCAACCCUCUGGUCACCCUACUCCUUUCCCCUCUAAUGUACGCUCAUCCUUGUCCCACAUUCCCCUCUUUCCCAGAUCCCUCCCUCUGGCUUUGCACGUCACACCUCUUCUCCUUGUCUGACACUUGUCUCCUCUUCACCUCUAGCCUUUAUCACUACUCUCCUCUCUGCUAAUCAGCCCCCAACUGUAUCCAGCAUCACUCACCAGGCUUUGUCCUGCUCCCAUCUCUUUCCAGCUUUCUCUCAACUCCAUCAGUCUGAAGAAAGAUCCUGAUCUUAAACAUCUGUCCAUUCAUUUGCAGUUGGGCAGAUAGUGCCUGAUCCACUGAAUAUCUCCAGCACUGUUUCUGACCUAGUUAUUCCUUGGUUAAAGUUAUCCUAGGGAAAGUGAGUUUAAUAGUCACGGCUCUUAAGUCGUAUUAUAAUUAUUACAUCCUUCUAUAAUUUAGUUUAGAGAUACAGUGCGGAAGCAGGCUCUUCGGCCCACCGGAUCAGCGCCAACCAGCAUUCUCCACACAUUAACACUAUCCUACACCCAUUAGGGACAAUUUUCAUAUUUACCAAGCCAAUUAACCUACAAACCUGCACGUCUUUGGAGUGUGGGAGGAAACCGAACCCUCGCUUCUGCAGAAACAGCCUGGAUCCAGAGAUCAGUGGCCGCAGUGACCAGUGUGAUGGCUGAAGUGGCCAAAGGGCCAGAUUUCUGUGCUGUACGACAGUGAGGUGAAGGUCUGUGCAGACUUGCCCAUCUGAUCGACGUUCCAGUCACAGCCUCAUGGACAUGUCCAAUGACCCCCCCUCCU
Molecule: long non-coding RNA, 1716 nt
Organism: Leucoraja erinaceus (little skate)
Lineage: Eukaryota; Metazoa; Chordata; Chondrichthyes; Rajiformes; Rajidae
Exons: 5
Source: RefSeq, a predicted model, not a curated record